RNAcentral lists this ribosomal RNA (489 nucleotides) under uncultured bacterium. RNAcentral describes it as "partial 16S ribosomal RNA". It matches the Rfam family "Bacterial small subunit ribosomal RNA", at positions 30 to 506 of the family's 1533-position model. The record is from RNAcentral.
AUUGAACGCUGGCGGCAGGCCUAACACAUGCAAGUCGAACGGUAACAGGGAUCAGCUUGCUGAUUCGCUGACGAGUGGCGGACGGGUGAGUAAUGUCUGGGAAACUGCCUGAUGGAGGGGGAUAACUACUGGAAACGGUAGCUAAUACCGCAUAACGUCGCAAGACCAAAGAGGGGGACCUUCGGGCCUCUUGCCAUCGGAUGUGCCCAGAUGGGAUUAGCUAGUAGGUGGGGUAACGGCUCACCUAGGCGACGAUCCCUAGCUGGGCUGAGAGGAUGACCAGGCACACUGGAACGGAGAUACGGUCCAGACUCCUACGGGAGGCAGCAGUGGGGAAUAUUGCACAAUGGGCGCAAGGCUGAUGCAGCCAUGCCGCGUGUAUGAAGAAGGCCCUCGGGUUGUAAAGUACUUUCAGCGGGGAGGAAGGGAGUAAAGUUAAUACCUUUGCUCAUUGACGUUACCCGCAGAAGAAGCACCGGCUAACUCCGU